RNAcentral lists this ribosomal RNA (767 nucleotides) under uncultured bacterium. RNAcentral describes it as "bacterial SSU rRNA". It matches the Rfam family "Bacterial small subunit ribosomal RNA", at positions 59 to 794 of the family's 1533-position model. The record is from RNAcentral.
CAGUCGAGCGAGCGGAACCACAGAUUUACUUCGGUAAUGACGUCGGGAAAGCGAGCGGCGGAUGGGUGAGUAACACGUGGGGAACCUGCCCCUAAGUCUGGGAUACCAUUUGGAAACAGGUGCUAAUACCGGAUAAUAAAGCGGAUCGCAUGAUCAGCUUUUGAAAGGCGGCGUAAGCUGUCGCUAAGGGAUGGCCCCGCGGUGCAUUAGCUAGUUGGUAAGGUAACGGCUUACCAAGGCGACGAUGCAUAGCCGAGUUGAGAGACUGAUCGGCCACAUUGGGACUGAGACACGGCCCAAACUCCUAUGGGAGGCAGCAGUAGGGAAUCUUCCACAAUGGACGCAAGUCUGAUGGAGCAACGCCGCGUGAGUGAAGAAGGUUUUCGGAUCGUAAAGCUCUGUUGUUGGUGAAGAAGGAUAGAGGUAGUAACUGGCCUUUAUUUGACGGUAAUCAACCAGAAAGUCACGGCUAACUACGUGCCAGCAGCCGCGGUAAUACGUAGGUGGCAAGCGUUGUCCGGAUUUAUUGGGCGUAAAGCGAGCGCAGGCGGAAAAAUAAGUCUAAUGUGAAAGCCCUCGGCUUAACCGAGGAACUGCAUCGGAAACUGUUUUUCUUGAGUGCAGAAGAGGAGAGUGGAACUCCAUGUGUAGCGGUGGAAUGCGUAGAUAUAUGGAAGAACACCAGUGGCGAAGGCGGCUCUCUGGUCUGCAACUGACGCUGAGGCUCGAAAGCAUGGGUAGCGAACAGGAUUAGAUACCCUGGUAGU